CGGAGCUUGCUCCACCGGGAAAAGAGGAGUGGCGAACGGGUGAGUAACACGUGGGUAACCUGCCCAUCAGAAGGGGAUAACACUUGGAAACAGGUGCUAAUACCGUAUAACAAUCGAAAUCGCAUGGUUUCGUUUUGAAAGGCGCUUUACGGUGCCGCUGAUGGAUGGACCCGCGGUGCAUUAGCUAGUUGGUGAGGUAACGGCUCACCAAGGCCACGAUGCAUAGCCGACCUGAGAGGGUGAUCGGCCACAUUGGGACUGAGACACGGCCCAAACUCCUACGGGAGGCAGCAGUAGGGAAUCUUCGGCAAUGGACGAAAGUCUGACCGAGCAACGCCGCGUGAGUGAAGAAGGUUUUCGGAUCGUAAAACUCUGUUGUUAGAGAAGAACAAGGGUGAGAGUAACUGUUCACCCCUUGACGGUAUCUAACCAGAAAGCCACGGCUAACUACGUGCCAGCAGCCGCGGUAAUACGUAGGUGGCAAGCGUUGUCCGGAUUUAUUGGGCGUAAAGCGAGCGCAGGCGGUUUCUUAAGUCUGAUGUGAAAGCCCCCGGCUCAACCGGGGAGGGUCAUUGGAAACUGGGAGACUUGAGUGCAGAAGAGGAGAGUGGAAUUCCAUGUGUAGCGGUGAAAUGCGUAGAUAUAUGGAGGAACACCAGUGGCGAAGGCGGCUCUCUGGUCUGUAACUGACGCUGAGGCUCGAAAGCGUGGGGAGCAAACAGGAUUAGAUACCCUGGUAGUCCACGCCGUAAACGAUGAGUGCUAAGUGUUGGAGGGUUUCCGCCCUUCAGUGCUGCAGCUAACGCAUUAAGCACUCCGCCUGGGGAGUACGACCGCAAGGUUGAAACUCAAAGGAAUUGACGGGGGCCCGCACAAGCGGUGGAGCAUGUGGUUUAAUUCGAAGCAACGCGAAGAACCUUACCAGGUCUUGACAUCCUUUGACCACUCUAGAGAUAGAGCUUCCCCUUCGGGGGCAAAGUGACAGGUGGUGCAUGGUUGUCGUCAGCUCGUGUCGUGAGAUGUUGGGUUAAGUCCCGCAACGAGCGCAACCCUUAUUGUUAUUUGCCAUCAUUUAGUUGGGCACUCUAGCAAGACUGCCGGUGACAAACCGGAGGAAGGGUGGGGAUGACGUCA
This 1134-nucleotide ribosomal RNA is filed under the name Enterococcus mundtii. RNAcentral describes it as "bacterial SSU rRNA". It matches the Rfam family "Bacterial small subunit ribosomal RNA", at positions 74 to 1187 of the family's 1533-position model. The record is from RNAcentral. Lineage: Bacteria; Bacillati; Bacillota; Bacilli; Lactobacillales; Enterococcaceae.